GGAGGUUUGGCAGAGUGGUCGAUUGCGGCGGUCUUGAAAACCGUUGGGCGCGAAAGCGUCCCCAGGGUUCGAAUCCCUGAGCCUCCGCCA
This 90-nucleotide transfer RNA is filed under the name Palleronia sediminis. Its description in RNAcentral is "Primorskyibacter sp. SS33 tRNA-Ser". It matches the Rfam family "tRNA". From Rfam's summary of the family: Transfer RNA (tRNA) molecules are approximately 80 nucleotides in length. Their secondary structure includes four short double-helical elements and three loops (D, anti-codon, and T loops). Further hydrogen bonds mediate the characteristic L-shaped molecular structure. tRNAs have two regions of fundamental functional importance: the anti-codon, which is responsible for specific mRNA codon recognition, and the 3' end, to which the tRNAs corresponding amino acid is attached (by aminoacyl-tRNA synthetases). tRNAs cope with the degeneracy of the genetic code in two manners: having more than one tRNA (with a specific anti-codon) for a particular amino acid; and 'wobble' base-pairing, i.e. permitting non-standard base-pairing at the 3rd anti-codon position. Lineage: Bacteria; Pseudomonadati; Pseudomonadota; Alphaproteobacteria; Rhodobacterales; Roseobacteraceae. The record is from RNAcentral.